Pseudonaja textilis is the source of this 133-nucleotide non-coding RNA. Lineage: Eukaryota; Metazoa; Chordata; Lepidosauria; Squamata; Elapidae. The record is from RefSeq and is a predicted model, not a curated record.
CUGCGAGCACACGCACUCGGCACAGGCUCCUUGUGAGCUUCCUCAUCGCUGCUGCCAGCCCCCACAAUCUCUGAAGGCAGCAGUCCACUCCCUAAUGGUCCUGGCCCCUCAUCUGAGAAUAUAAAAGCCGGCC